GACGAACGCUGGCGGCGUGCCUAAUACAUGCAAGUAGAACGCUGAAGGAGGAGCUUGCUUCUCUGGAUGAGUUGCGAACGGGUGAGUAACGCGUAGGUAACCUGCCUGGUAGCGGGGGAUAACUAUUGGGAACGAUAGCUAAUACCGCAUAAGAGUAGAUGUUGCAUGACAUUUGCUUAAAAGGUGCAAUUGCAUCACUACCAGAUGGACCUGCGUUGUAUUAGCUAGUUGGUGAGGUAACGGCUCACCAAGGCAACGAUACAUAGCCGACCUGAGAGGGUGAUCGGCCACACUGGGACUGAGACACGGCCCAGACUCCUACGGGAGGCAGCAGUAGGGAAUCUUCGGCAAUGGACGGAAGUCUGACCGAGCAACGCCGCGUGAGUGAAGAAGGUUUUCGGAUCGUAAAGCUUUGUUGUAAGAGAAGAACGAGUGUGAGAGUGGAAAGUUCACACUGUGACGGUAUCUUACCAGAAAGGGACGGCUAACUACGUGCCAGCAGCCGCGGUAAUACGUAGGUCCCGAGCGUUGUCCGGAUUUAUUGGGCGUAAAGCGAGCGCAGGCGGUUAGAUAAGUCUGAAGUUAAAGGCUGUGGCUUAACCAUAGUACGCUUUGGAAACUGUUUAACUUGAGUGCAAGAGGGGAGAGUGGAAUUCCAUGUGUAGCGGUGAAAUGCGUAGAUAUAUGGAGGAACACCGGUGGCGAAAGCGGCUCUCUGGCUUGUAACUGACGCUGAGGCUCGAAAGCGUGGGGAGCAAACAGG
Molecule: ribosomal RNA, 763 nt
Filed under: uncultured Streptococcus sp.
Lineage: Bacteria; Bacillati; Bacillota; Bacilli; Lactobacillales; Streptococcaceae
Description: bacterial SSU rRNA
Rfam family: Bacterial small subunit ribosomal RNA
Source: RNAcentral